RNAcentral lists this ribosomal RNA (220 nucleotides) under uncultured bacterium. Its description in RNAcentral is "partial 16S ribosomal RNA". It matches the Rfam family "Bacterial small subunit ribosomal RNA", at positions 524 to 739 of the family's 1533-position model. The record is from RNAcentral.
UACGUAGGUGGCAAGCGUUUGUCCGGAUUUACUGGGCGUAAAGAGCGCGCAGGCGGUCGUUCAAGUCGAGUGCUGAAAGCCCCCGGCUCAACGUGGGGAGGGUCACUCGAUACUGAUCGACUCGAAGGCAGAAGAGGGAAGCGGAAUUCCCGGUGUAGUGGUGAAAUGCGGUAGAUAUCGGGAGGAACACCAGUGGCGAAGGCGGCUUUCUGGUCUGCUC